GUCUUCACCUUGGCCUAAUUUUGAUUGAUAAUAAAAGUUUGCUUCGUCCUCUCCACAAAAUCACAUAUGGGCAAGAUCGUUCUUUAUAAAUGGCGAUCACAUCCAAGUAGAGCUUGAACCCGCCACUAGAAGAGGCUCUAUGAACAUGUCAGCAGGAUUGUCUCCAGUGUUAAUCUUUUGAACAGAGAUUUUUUCAUCAAAAAUAAUUUUUCAAAUAAAAUGAUAGCUGAUACCAAUAGAUU
RNAcentral lists this long non-coding RNA (242 nucleotides) under Nicotiana benthamiana. RNAcentral's name for it is "long non-coding RNA (NBEN_LNC031349)". The record is from RNAcentral. Lineage: Eukaryota; Viridiplantae; Streptophyta; Magnoliopsida; Solanales; Solanaceae.